UACGUAGGGUGCGAGCGUUGUCCGGAUUUAUUGGGCUUAAAGGGUGCGUAGGCGGCCUGCUAAGUCCGGGGUGAAAGCCCGUUGCUCAACAACGGAACUGCCCUGGAUACUGGCGGGCUUGAGUCCAGGCGAGGUUGGCGGAAUGGACGGAGUAGCGGUGAAAUGCAUAGAUACCGUGCAGAACCCCGAUUGCGCAGGCAGCUGACUAGGUUGGUACUGACGCUGAGGCACGACAGCGUGGGGAGCGAACAGG
RNAcentral lists this ribosomal RNA (253 nucleotides) under uncultured bacterium. Its description in RNAcentral is "partial 16S ribosomal RNA". It matches the Rfam family "Bacterial small subunit ribosomal RNA", at positions 524 to 776 of the family's 1533-position model. The record is from RNAcentral.